UAAUACGUAGGAGGCAAGCGUUGUCCGGAAUUACUGGGUGUAAAGCGCGUGUAGGCGGCAGGCCAAGUCUGUGGUGAAAUCGCUCGGCUCAACUGGGCGGGGUCCAUGGAAACUGGUCAGCUGGAGGACGGUAGAGGUGAGUGGAAUUCCCGGUGUAGUGGUGAAAUGCGUAGAGAUCGGGAGGAACACCCGUGGCGAAGGCGGCUCACUGGGCCGGUCCUGACGCUGAGACGCGAAGGCGUGGGGAGCGAACGGGAUUAGAUACCCCGGUAGUCCACGCAGUAAACGAUGCAUACUAGGUGUGGGGGGUAUCGAGCCCCUCCGUGCCGCAGCUAACGCAGUAAGUAUGCCACCUGGGGAGUACGGCCGCAAGGUUA
Molecule: ribosomal RNA, 377 nt
Filed under: uncultured bacterium
Lineage: Bacteria
Description: bacterial SSU rRNA
Rfam family: Bacterial small subunit ribosomal RNA
Source: RNAcentral